Molecule: long non-coding RNA, 868 nt
Organism: Mastomys coucha (southern multimammate mouse)
Lineage: Eukaryota; Metazoa; Chordata; Mammalia; Rodentia; Muridae
Exons: 3
Source: RefSeq, a predicted model, not a curated record
AGUAUCACUGAUAUUUGGAAUAAUUUGAAUGGGCUCUUUUCCUGGAAACCAGAGACUUGGGUUGUCUUGGAAUAUUUGUUUGCCAUAUGAUGCUGAAAACCAGAAGUUGAACUAUGCUAUCAGAGAACUUGAGUAAGAAAAUGGCAGGAAACAGGAGUCCCCCUGAGAGCUGUCUGAAGUGGAAUGACGAGCAACAGGCUUUCUGAGCAGAGUCCUGUGCUCUGGAUCAGAUCCUGGAGAAGGAAGGGUAAAGCCAGUACAGUACUUGUUUUGAAGGAGAUCAUGGCUAUGCAAACAGAUAGCUGUCCCAUGUGUGAGGAACAAACCGUAAACUCUGCUCAGGGCACACAUCCCAUGCAGAUUUCUCCAGAGAACUCAACAGGCCUGGGGCAACACUUCCUUUAGAAACACUGUAAUAUGAAAUCUCAGCAGUUGAAUCUUCACCUAAGCCAAUAUCCUGUCAGUGUCUAUACACUGUGUGAAGAUUGUUCAAUGAGGAAAUCAAAGCUGCAUGUGAGAACAAACUCACAUAUUCUCCUAGAACCACACAAAGCUCACAGCACAUUCUUGGCUGCCUCUGGUCUUGGAAAGACAUGGACAAGGAAGGUGCUCAAUCAUUGAUGGAUUCAACUUCAAGUACUCUGGCUCUGGAGUCUUUGCUUUGUGCCAGACAUGAUGAUGACAGGCUGGGCCCUUGGGGUGCAAAGAAGACUUGGCCUACUCAGUAUAGAAUUCCCAAACUGCUUGAAAUUGGUUUACCCAUCAUGCCUUCCAGAGAAGUUCAAAUGUACUCCCAUAAAUUUUUGGUGUCCUAAAGAUGGUGUAAUAAGAAUAAAUGCAAUCUUCCUUCUAUGGCUUACAACUCUCA